GACGAACGCUGGCGGCGCGCCAACACAUGCAAGUCGAACGGAGCGUACUGUGUGAAGCCCUUCGGGGUAGAACUUUGUAUUGCUUAGUGGCGAACGGGUGAGUAACACGUGAGCAACCUACCCUAGAGUGGGGGACAACAUCUGGAAACGGAUGCUAAUACCGCAUAAGACCACGAGGUCACAUGACCUUGAGGCCAAAGGAUUUAUUCGCUUUAGGAUGGACUCGCGUCCAAUUAGCUAGUUGGUGAGGUAAAGGCCCACCAAGGCGACGAUUGGUAGCCGGACUGAGAGGUUGAACGGCCACAUUGGGACUGAGACACGGCCCAGACUCCUACGGGAGGCAGCAGUGGGGAAUAUUGCACAAUGGGGGAAACCCUGAUGCAGCGACGCCGAGUGAGGGAAGAAGGUUUUCGGAUUGUAAACCUCUGUCCCGGUUGAAGAUAAUGACGGUAGACCGGGAGGAAGCUACGGCUAAUUACGUGCCAGCCGCCGCCGUAAUAC
Molecule: ribosomal RNA, 501 nt
Filed under: uncultured bacterium
Lineage: Bacteria
Description: bacterial SSU rRNA
Rfam family: Bacterial small subunit ribosomal RNA
Source: RNAcentral